UGGCGGCGUGCCUAAUACAUGCAAGUCGAACGGUCUUUCUAUGGAAGCUUGCUUCCACUGAGAAGAUAGUGGCGAACGGGUGAGUAACACGUGGGUAACCUGCCCAUAAGAGGGGGAUAACAUCCGGAAACGGGUGCUAAUACCGCAUAGUUUUCUUGAUCGCAUGAUCGGGAAAGGAAAGACGGCCUUUGUGCUGUCGCUUAUGGAUGGACCCGCGGCGUAUUAGUUAGUUGGUGAGGUAAUGGCUCACCAAGACGAUGAUACGUAGCCGACCUGAGAGGGUGAUCGGCCACAUUGGGACUGAGACACGGCCCAAACUCCUACGGGAGGCAGCAGUAGGGAAUCUUCCGCAAUGGACGAAAGUCUGACGGAGCAACGCCGCGUGAGUGAAGAAAGGUUUUCGGAUCGUAAAACUCUGUUGUCAGAGAAGAACAAGUUGGAGAGUAACUGCUCCAGCCUUGACGGUAUCUGACCAGAAAGCCACGGCUAACUACGUGCCAGCCGCCGC
This 508-nucleotide ribosomal RNA is filed under the name uncultured bacterium. Its description in RNAcentral is "bacterial SSU rRNA". It matches the Rfam family "Bacterial small subunit ribosomal RNA", at positions 37 to 518 of the family's 1533-position model. The record is from RNAcentral.